Long non-coding RNA from Populus euphratica (Euphrates poplar), 240 nucleotides. RefSeq lists it as uncharacterized. NCBI's taxonomy places the organism in Eukaryota, Viridiplantae, Streptophyta, Magnoliopsida, Malpighiales, Salicaceae. The record is from RefSeq and is a predicted model, not a curated record. The transcript is spliced from 3 exons.
CUCGUGAUUACUUCACCUAGCUACUCUUCUAAACCUACAAUUCACGUGAAGUCUCACCUGGUCUUUGCGAUCUCUCUUUCACUUCUAUAUAUGCUGCCAAAGACAUCAAGGAUUUUUGCCGGAAUCAGAGUCCGAAGAUCUUUCCACAACCCAGAGUGGAGGGCUUGGAAAACAGUGGAAAUAUGAAGAUCAACCAUGUCGCCACUAGCUUCUGUAAACACAUCCACUAGUGGAGUAGAA